This 192-nucleotide unclassified non-coding RNA is filed under the name uncultured fungus. RNAcentral's name for it is "sequence contains ITS1". Lineage: Eukaryota; Fungi. The record is from RNAcentral.
UUAACUAUUAUAUAGUACUCAGACGACACUAAUAUUCGGAGUUUUGGGGUCCUUUGGCGAGCACUUACCAGCCAGAGCCGGUAGCCGAGGCGGCCCGCCAAAGCAACAAAGGUAUAAGUAUUCAAGGGUGGGAGAUCUACCCGUGAGGGCAUGAACUCUGUAAUGAUCCUUCCGCAGGUUCACCUACGGAAA